RNAcentral lists this ribosomal RNA (207 nucleotides) under uncultured bacterium. RNAcentral's name for it is "partial 16S ribosomal RNA". It matches the Rfam family "Bacterial small subunit ribosomal RNA", at positions 568 to 774 of the family's 1533-position model. The record is from RNAcentral.
CACGUAGGCGGAUAUUUAAGUCAGGGGUGAAAUCCCAGAGCUCAACUCUGGAACUGCCUUUGAUACUGGGUAUCUUGAGUAUGGAAGAGGUAAGUGGAAUUCCGAGUGUAGAGGUGAAAUUCGUAGAUGUUCGGAGGAACACCAGUGGCGAAGGCGGCUUACUGGUCCAUUACUGACGCUGAGGUGCGAAAGCGUGGGGAGCAAACA